Long non-coding RNA from Triticum dicoccoides, 1214 nucleotides. RefSeq lists it as uncharacterized. The record is from RefSeq and is a predicted model, not a curated record. Lineage: Eukaryota; Viridiplantae; Streptophyta; Magnoliopsida; Poales; Poaceae. The transcript has 4 exons.
GCGAGGAAGAUUUGGAUGCAAGCACCCAUCUUUCAUGAGAGAGACCUAAGUUGUACAUUUGAAUUCUUCUCUGUUUAUACUCUGCCAAGUUAUCUCAAGCAUAUGAUUUUACUUUGGUACAGGUUGAUUAUAUUACUGGAUGCAUAUGCAUAAAUCAGAGGAUAAGCAGCGGAAGGACAAGUUGUAUUUUUCGAGAUGUUCUCUUCUUCUUUAUUUUACAUGUUAAAGCAUGGACCUUCUUGCUCAGGAAUGAUACAAUCAAUCCAACUGUUACCUUUGGGGUGCUUUUUGGAUGGACUAAUCUGAAGAUGUUGGCUAGCUUGCACCGCCAUCAUAUAAUCUAGAAGCUAGGGCAAGGAUUAUAGGGAAAAUAAAGGCAAUUAGCCAACCGGAGGAAAUGCCAACCAAUACAUUUUUGUACUUCCUCUGUUACAGAGUUCGUUCAGGCCUUAGGGACGCUUUCGAUCACUGUCCAUCAACAAGUUCAACUCCGACAACGGUUCACCGAUAAUGUGGGCCGGUGCACCACGUCAGCAACGUCGACGGCCUGACAGGCCAUUUUCCAACUGGGCCUAUUGUAAAUGACGGGACCAUGAGUUUCUCCUUUUGGAGUUUACUUCUACGAGUGCUCACUCCCUGCAUCUUGUUCUGUUUUUUGUUCUAUUUUUCAGAAAAUGAAGAUGUACUUUGCCGUUCCACUAAUCUCGGCAAAAGAGUAGAUUAUGGUGCCCCUCGUGCUAUAGUGGAAUUGAAUCGCAAAAAACUCUAUAGAUUCAUCAAACAAUGAAGGAGGUUAGUUUUUACCUGAGGGGCAACGACGGCCACCGUGGUCUUGCUGGAGCCUCGCUUGCAGUCGAAAGUCAUCAGCUUCAGGGAGUGCCAGCACAGCCAAAAUAGGCGCCACCUUCGACGGGGAGCAACAGCAGCAACUACGAGGAUUUGCCUAGCCCAUACAAGCAACGGCGGCGACAUACCCGCUUCCGCAGCUCCGAGCUGCUGGUCCGCCGGCGAGCCGUUGCGCCUCCAAGCUGCCGAGCCACCGAGAUGGAAAUGUAGCCGCAGCGCCUCCGAGCUGCAGCGAGAGCCGCUCCGCCGCCAAGCUGCAGAGUGAGCUGCCGUGAAGAUGGAGCCGUGCUUUCUCUCCAGUACGAGUACAAUGGGGAGAGGGGAACGAAUCCAAUGAACUGGUCGAUGGAACCAAGACCAACAGUCAA